Molecule: long non-coding RNA, 286 nt
Filed under: Cottoperca gobio
Lineage: Eukaryota; Metazoa; Chordata; Actinopteri; Perciformes; Bovichtidae
Description: lncRNA (ENSCGOG00000005815.1)
Source: RNAcentral
UUUAAGCUGUAGGAACCCUGCAGCUGACAUAUUUCACCUUCAAAAGUAAAGUAAAGUCUAAACAUUGAAGUCUUUUCUUUGACUUUGACCAGUUAUACAAAUCAUCAACAUCAUGAAAGAAGUGAGAGAGCUGGAUGUUAAUGAGGAGACAACAUCAACAAGUCAAGCCACCACUCUUCAGCUGCUGCUUCAAGACAAAGAAAGUGAAUUUGCCAAAGCUCAGGAUGAAAUAACGGAGCUGCAGAGAAAACUGCAGAGAAAGACUAACGAAUGCUCUAGUUUGGAG